Molecule: ribosomal RNA, 465 nt
Filed under: uncultured bacterium
Lineage: Bacteria
Description: partial 16S ribosomal RNA
Rfam family: Bacterial small subunit ribosomal RNA
Source: RNAcentral
AAUGAACGUUGGCGGCGUGGAUUAGGCAUGCAAGUCGAGCGAGAACCCCGCAAGGGGGGACAGCGGCGAAAGGGACAGUAAUGUGUAGAUUAUCUGCCCUCAGGUCCGGGAUAGCUGCGGGAAACUGCAGGUAAUACCGGAUAACAUCUCCGGAUCAAAGGUGUGAUUCCGCCUGAGGAUGAGUCUGCAUCCUAUUAGCUAGUUGGUGGGGUAAUGGCCUACCAAGGCAUUGAUGGGUAGCAGGUGUGAGAGCACGACCUGCGUCAUUGGGACUGAGACACUGCCCAGACACCUACGGGUGGCUGCAGUCGAGAAUCUUCGGCAAUGGGCGCAAGCCUGACCGAGCGACGCCGCGUGUGGGAUGAAGGCCUUCGGGUUGUAAACCACUGUCAGAGGGGAUGAAAUGCAGGUGGGUUCUCCCAUCUGUUUGACAUAGCCUCAGAGGAAGGACGGGCUAGGUUCGUG